Molecule: ribosomal RNA, 492 nt
Filed under: uncultured bacterium
Lineage: Bacteria
Description: partial 16S ribosomal RNA
Rfam family: Bacterial small subunit ribosomal RNA
Source: RNAcentral
AGUGAACGCUGGCGGUAGGCCUAACACAUGCAAGUCGAACGGCAGCACAGUAAGAGCUUGCUCUUACGGGUGGCGAGUGGCGGACGGGUGAGGAAUACAUCGGAAUCUACUUUUUCGUGGGGGAUAACGUAGGGAAACUUACGCUAAUACCGCAUACGACCUACGGGUGAAAGCAGGGGAUCUUCGGACCUUGCGCGAUUGAAUGAGCCGAUGUCGGAUUAGCUAGUUGGCGGGGUAAAGGCCAAGCAAGGCGACGAUCCGUAGCUGGUCUGAGAGAAUGGUCAGCCACACUGGAACUGAGACACGGUCCAGACUCCUACGGGAGGCAGCAGUGUGGAAUAUUGGACAAUGGGCGCAAGCCUGAUCCAGCCAUACCGCGUGUGUGAAGAAGGCCUUCGGGUUGUAAAGCCCUUUUGUUGGGAAAGAAAAGCAGCAGGUUAAUACCCCGCUGUUCUGACGGUACCCAAAGAAUAAGCACCGGCUAACUUCGUG